Non-coding RNA from Paragonimus heterotremus, 84 nucleotides. The record is from the annotation of a GenBank genome assembly. NCBI's taxonomy places the organism in Eukaryota, Metazoa, Platyhelminthes, Trematoda, Plagiorchiida, Troglotrematidae.
GACUUCGUAGCUCAGCUGGUGGAGCGCUGCUUGUCGCGUUGAGGCAUGGUGUUUCUUUCGCUGGUUCGAAUGCAGCCGAAGUCC